GCCCAGGUUACAGUGAGUUACGAUCAUGUCACUGCACUCUAGCCUGGGUGCCAGAGCAAGAUUCUGUUUCUAAAAAAUAAAUAAAUUCCAAAUAACAUAAAACACUAACAUUAAAGAAACAUUAAACAUUUAAUGUUAAAAUAACAUUAAAGAAAGGCAUGACAUUUUUAUGUUUAUCUAAGGGCACGGAUUGAAAACUUGACAAACAUGAAUACAGGACCUAGAGAUCAGAAGUCAGAAAGAAAUAAGGAGAUGAAAUGGAUCUGUUUUAGAGAGCUGCUCUCUUUCUACUUCAACCAACUCAGAGAUAUCCAUCUAUUUACUUGUAUAAAGUGUUAAGGGAAGAAACAGAUUUAGGGCUCAGAAUUAUAGAAAAGCCCUUCCUUUAUUAGGGUGUAUAAAAACUUUGAUUUCUUUUUGAAUUUUCCUGAGUUCAGUGGCACACUGGUAAUCUCUAGUACACAUGAUCUGUGGCUGUUAGAACAAAAUUCCCCAAUACGUUAACACUGCAGCCUCCAAAAUGGCUCCCAAUGAUCCCAACCUUCUGGUAUCCACUCCUUUCUACAGUCCUCUCCCACACCAAAUCAGGGUUGGUUUCUGUAACCAACAGAAUUUGGCAUAAGUGAUGGCAUAUGGCUUCCAAGGCUGAUUUAUAAAAGACAUUGAGGUGUUUCCCUGUUUCUUCAAUCGCCUGCUCUAAAGGGAAGCCAUAGCACAGACAAGCAGACCUAUGGAGAGGGCCAUGUGGUGAGAAACUGAAAACUCUUGCCCAAAGCCAGCAAGCCACAAAGACCUCUUGCCCAUGGCCACGUGGGUGAAUCAUUUUGGAAUCAGAUUAUCCAGCCCCAGUCAAGCCUUCCCUCAGAUGCCUGAAGCCCCUGCUGACAUCUUGUCUACAAACUCAUGAGACCCUGAGCUAGAAACACCCAGCAAAGCUGCCCCCAAAUUUCUGAAACACAAACUGUGAGACAAUAAGCUUUGGGGUAAUUUGUUAUGCAGUAAUAGAUAACUAAUACACAUUAUACUACAGGAAAAAGCUCAAGACACAGAAGGCCAGAUAUGGUGUGAUUCCAUUUAUAUGAAACAUCCGUAACAGGCAAAUCCAAAGAGAUAGAAAGUAGAUUGCUGGUUACCAGGGGCUGGAAGGACAGAGGAAUGGGGAGCAAAUGCUAAUGGGUAUGAGGUUUCUUCUUGGGGUGAAAAUGAAUUGGAUAGUGGUAAUGGGUACAUAAUCUCGUGACUAUACUAAAAACCACUGAAUUGUACACGUUAAAGAAUUUUAUGGCAUAUGGACUGUGAAUUAUAUCUAAAUUACGUGUGUGUGUGUAUGUGUGUAUGUAUUUGGAACAGAGCAGCGGAUGGAAGUUGGAAGGACUUUAAGGAAAGUGUUAAUGAAAACCUGAAGAGCCUUGAAGAAAUUGUUGAGAAGUAUGGCCUUUGAAGAGGCUGCAGGUGUAGUCUUAAGGAAAAAUUGCCAGUCUCCUGUAUGUCUUCCACUUCCCUACUUUUUGAAGAGGACGGUAUCUAGCAAUUAUCCUAUAUCUGCUGUGCUACGGUAUGUUACACAUAUGGGGAGCAAAUAACUACAGUUCACAGGUCUUAAGAGAAACUACUUGAGUUGCUGUACCUAAGGAACUCAUCCCAAGGAGCCCUCAUUCACACUUGCACCUGACCUGAUUUAGAUGAUAAGAUACUGGGCUUUGAGCUGAUGCUAUAUUAAGGUGAAACUUCUGGAGGAUUUGAAAGGAGGUAAGAGUAUUUUGCAUUGGGAAGGACAUAAAUCAUUGGGGACCAGAGGUCAGACUGUGGUACCCAACUUCCAAGUUGACACCCAGUGAUUCCUGCCUCCUAAUAUUCACAAUGUAUAUAAUCUCUUCAACAUUUAUUAGGCCCCAUGUAACCCAUGGAAUUUGGCAAAUGUGAUGGUAUGUGACUUGAGGCUAGUUUAUAAAAGAGUGACUUCUGCCUGGCACUCUCUGUCUCAUCACUUACUCUGCGGGAAGCCAACUACCAUAAGAUACUCAAGCAGCCCUACAGAGAGGUCCAUGUGGUGACAAACUGAGUCCCCUUGCCACCCACCAGCCAGAGAACUGACUCUUGCCAGCAGUCAUGCAAGUAAGCCAUGUGGAAGCAUUUCCUCCAGCCCUGGAGAAUUCUUCAGAUGAUCAUAACACCUUGUCUGCAACCUCAUUAGAGACCGCGCCAGACCCACGUGACUAUAUUGCUCCUGAUUUCCCGAUUCCUUCUCUGAACGUUUCUUUUAAGCUGUAGUGGAUAACUAAUAUACCAUUUCUCAUGCUUUUGUUUCUGCUCUCAUAUUAAAAGGAUAUUUGGGCUGGGCACAGUGUCUCACGCCUGUAAUCCCCAGCACUUUGGCAGGCUGAGGCGGAUGGAUCACCUGAGAUCAAGAGUUCGAGACCAGCCUGGCCAACAUGGCGAAAUGCUGUCUCUAUUAAAAAUUCAAAAAGUGGCUGGGCAUGGUGGUGGGUGCCUGUAAUCCCAGCUACUUGGGAGGCUGAGGCAGGAGAAUCGCUUGAACUCAGGAAGCAGAGGUUGUGGUGAGCCAAGAUCACACCACUGCACUCCAGGCUGGGUAACACAGCAAGAGUCCAUUUCAAAAAAAAAAAAAAAAAAAAAAGAAAAGAAAAAAAACCUCGGAUAUUUGGAGGCUCCUGUUGAAUGAGAUUUUCUCUGUAUUACACAUGCAGAAAGUACAUAUUUUAUCAGAAUAUUUUAUUUCAAGAGUUAACACUUUUUUCAAAAAGUAAAAACAAUAUAA
RNAcentral lists this long non-coding RNA (2779 nucleotides) under Homo sapiens (human). RNAcentral's name for it is "HSALNT0221278". The record is from RNAcentral. Lineage: Eukaryota; Metazoa; Chordata; Mammalia; Primates; Hominidae.